GAUGAACGCUGACAGAAUGCUUAACACAUGCAAGUCUUUGGCGAAGCUGUGCUUGCACAGCCUAGCCAAGGCGGACGGGUGAGUAACGCGUAAGGGACUUGCCCUGCAGUCAGGGAUAACAGACGGAAACGACUGAUAAGACCUGGUAAAGUCAGGCGGACUCAUGUCCAGCCUGAUGAAAAGGAAUGCUGCAGGAGAGCCUUGCGUCCUAUUAGCUUGUUGGCGGGGUAACGGCCCACCAAGGCGAUGAUAGGUAGCCGGCCUGAGAGGGUGGACGGCCACAAGGGGACUGAGAUACGGCCCUUACUCCUACGGGAGGCAGCAGUGGGGAAUAUUGGACAAUGGGGGCAACCCUGAUCCAGCAAUUCUGUGUGCACGAUGAAGGUCUUCGGAUUGUAAAGUGCUUUCAGCAGGGAAGAAAAAAAUGACGGUACCUGCAGAAGAAGCGACGGCUAAAUACGUGCCAGCAGCCGCGGUAAUACGUAUGUCGCGAGCGUUAUCCGGAAUUAUUGGGCAUAAAGGGCAUCUAGGCGGCCGGAUAAGUCUGGGGUGAAAACUUGCGGCUCAACCGCAAGCCUGCCCUGGAAACUAUGCGGCUAGAGUACUGGAGAGGUGGACGGAACUGCACGAGUAGAGGUGAAAUUCGUAGAUAUGUGCAGGAAUGCCGAUGAUGAAGAUAGUUCCACUGGACGGUAACUGACGCUGAAUGCGAAAGCUAGGGGAGCAAACAUG
RNAcentral lists this ribosomal RNA (732 nucleotides) under uncultured Leptotrichia sp. Its description in RNAcentral is "bacterial SSU rRNA". It matches the Rfam family "Bacterial small subunit ribosomal RNA", at positions 28 to 776 of the family's 1533-position model. Lineage: Bacteria; Fusobacteriati; Fusobacteriota; Fusobacteriia; Fusobacteriales; Leptotrichiaceae. The record is from RNAcentral.